AGUGAACGCUGGCGGUAGGCCUAACACAUGCAAGUCGAACGGCAGCACAGGAGAGCUUGCUCUCUGGGUGGCGAGUGGCGGACGGGUGAGGAAUACAUCGGAAUCUACUUUUUCGUGGGGGAUAACGUAGGGAAACUUACGCUAAUACCGCAUACGACCUACGGGUGAAAGCAGGGGACCUUCGGGCCUUGCGCGAUUGAAUGAGCCGAUGUCGGAUUAGCUAGUUGGCGGGGUGAAGGCCCACCAAGGCGACGAUGCGUAGCUGGUCUGUGGGGAUGAUCAGGCACACUGGAACUGAGACACGGUCAAGACUCCUACGGGAGGCAGCAGUGGGGAAUAUUUGACGAUGGGCGCAAGCCUGAUCCAGCCAUACCGCGUGGGUGAAGAAGGCCUUCGGGUUGUAAAGCCCUUUUGUUGGGAAAGAAAUCCAGCUGGCUAAUACCCGGUUGGGAUGACGGUACCCAAAGAAUAAGCACCGGCUAACUUCGUGCCAGCCGCCGCCGUAA
This 506-nucleotide ribosomal RNA is filed under the name uncultured bacterium. RNAcentral's name for it is "partial 16S ribosomal RNA". It matches the Rfam family "Bacterial small subunit ribosomal RNA", at positions 29 to 523 of the family's 1533-position model. The record is from RNAcentral.